GGAGCCGUGGAUAGUUAAGCUUAACUUUCUUAACUUUUCCCAUUCAUUCUCUAUGGUAGUUCUUAACACUACGGAUGCAAUAUGCUUUUGUCCACUACGCAUUUUGGCGCUGUUGCGCUGUUGAGCUGCUUUUUAAAAAAUAUUGGCAGCCAUCUUUGAAUCAUUUGUUGUGGUCGGCGUUACUGAUGACAGAUAUCGGACUGACUUUUUACUCUCAGAAAGUUGCGUCUGUGUCCCCCUUUAGGUUUGAGCCCUCGUCCUCCCAACUGACCCUGUGGCUCUCCGCUGCAGCAGAACUGGCCCUUGAGUACUGCCAGAAGGGGACCACUACCUAGCUAGAAGAUCAAGAGGGUGGACAGGGUGUGCAUGGAGGCAAGGGACACAGUGGCACUGAAAGGAGGCGACCCCAGAGCGUGAUGUGCGCAGGCUGAUGGGUCGGGUGCCGAUACAGCUGUGUGAGCUAAAUCAAAGGGCACUCUCCCAAUGGUCCGUCAGAACACAGAGGGAGACAGAGAGGACUGUGGUGGCACCUUGACCAGGCACUGCAGACGGGCUCAGCGGGGGCGACCCAGAACCAAGCAGCAUCGGCAACGUAUCGUCCAGCAGCAGUGGACCCACAGCCCAGCAGCAGUGGCGGUGUAUCGUCUGACAGCAGCGGCCGGUUCAGCAGUGGCGGUGUAUCGUCUGACAGCAGCCGACCCAGGGCCCAGCAGCAUCGGCAGUGUAUCGUCCAACAUGAGCUGACCCAGGGCCCAGCAGCAUCAGCAGUGACAGCAGCGCACCCAGGAUCCAGCAGCAAUGGCGCUGGAUCAGCAGCGGACCCAGGGCCACCAGCAGUGUCAGUGUAUCGCCCAGCAACAGCGGACCCAGGGCCAGCAGCAGUGUCUAACAGGCUUGUGCAAAAUUCCAGAAUGGAAUUGAAACUGGCUCUUAAAUUCCAAUUUAAUUCUUGAAUUUUACUUGCAUUUCAAAUGAGGUAGCAAACAGGAAGCAGAAUUGCAAUUCGAAUUGUGCACAACCCUGGUGUCUAAGUGUAUCGUCCAGAAGCAGCCGACCCACACACACGCACACA
Alosa sapidissima (American shad) is the source of this 1072-nucleotide long non-coding RNA. RefSeq lists it as uncharacterized. The transcript has 3 exons. The record is from RefSeq and is a predicted model, not a curated record. NCBI's taxonomy places the organism in Eukaryota, Metazoa, Chordata, Actinopteri, Clupeiformes, Clupeidae.